Molecule: ribosomal RNA, 282 nt
Filed under: Bertholdia detracta
Lineage: Eukaryota; Metazoa; Arthropoda; Insecta; Lepidoptera; Erebidae
Description: partial 28S ribosomal RNA
Rfam family: Eukaryotic large subunit ribosomal RNA
Source: RNAcentral
UCGGAAUAUAGCCCAGCACUGAAUCCCGUCGUUUUUAAGGCGGCGGGAGAUGUGGUGUUCGGGAGGUUCCGCUUUCUCGUCGUGGUCGCUCCUGUCCAAGUUGGCCUUGAACGGGGCCGUUUGCCCCCACAGGGUGCCAGGCCCGUAGCGACGGAGGACCGUGGCGAGAGGGACUCUCCUUAGAGUCGGGUCGCUUGAGAGUUCAACCCUAAGUGGAUGGUAAACUCCAUCUAAGGCAAAUAUUACCGCGAGACCAAGAAAAAACAAGUUCCGUAUUUUACA